Molecule: ribosomal RNA, 283 nt
Filed under: Pandinus imperator (emperor scorpion)
Lineage: Eukaryota; Metazoa; Arthropoda; Arachnida; Scorpiones; Scorpionidae
Description: partial 28S ribosomal RNA
Rfam family: Eukaryotic large subunit ribosomal RNA
Source: RNAcentral
CGUACCUAAGCCCUAGGAGAAUCCUAUGUCGAUGACGGUGUGCAUACAUAAUGUUGUUCGUAAAUGACGACACACACCCGUCGGGCGAAAGGGAAUCCGGUUCCUAUUCCGGAACCCGGCAGCGGAACCGCAUGCAAUUCGGGCCCUCGUAAGAGUGUUCGUCGGGGUAACCCAAAAUGACCUGGAGACGCCGUCGGGAGAUCCGGGAAGAGUUUUCUUUUCUGUAUAAGCGUUCGAGUUCCCUGGAAACCUCUAACAGGGAGAUAGGGUUUGGAACGCGAAC